This 854-nucleotide long non-coding RNA is filed under the name Homo sapiens (human). RNAcentral describes it as "CDH13 antisense oligodendrocyte and neuron associated lncRNA". Lineage: Eukaryota; Metazoa; Chordata; Mammalia; Primates; Hominidae. The record is from RNAcentral.
GUGACCUCAUCUAUCUUACUUAACCCUUCAUACAUAGAAUCUAGAAGAGUGGCCCGCACACACUGAGUGGGCCUGAAUAUAUACAAAUAUGAACAAGACCCACAAGGACUGCUCAUCACCCCAGUAUUCCAUUUACAACAUCCUGAAUGAACUCCCGACCAGGCCUAUAAUUCUCUCUUGCAGCCAAAUAUCCUGCUUACUCCUGGUAUCUACCUGGUCAGCAGACCUCAUGAGUUAUCGCCCAGUGACAAAACCAUCCCAAAGAUGCACCAGUCCAGCACAAAGUAUGACUGUCAAUCUCACAAAAGAUGUAGGGUUCUACGAGGAUACUCAGAGUAUAAGAAUUACGCUAAGUGAAAUAAGCCAAGCCCAGAAAGACACAUACUUUAUUAUUUCAUGUAUCUGUGGAAUCUAAAAGAGUCAAAUUCAUGGCAGCAGGGAGAGGGCUGAAGAAGGGGGAGAUGUUGAUCAAAGUUUCUAUGUAUACAAAGACCAAACCAUCACAUUAUGCCUCAUAAAUAUAUACAAUUAUUAUUUGCUAAUUACAAGUAAAGCAAUACAAGAAGAAAAAAAGGAAUCAUAAGUAAAUCCAUGACAAGUGAAAACGCAAUGGAGAGAAGGGAAUCAAUGAUUGAAGAAGAGAAAGGACAGUGGAUUUACAACUGCUUCGAAAGAGUGAUUUGACUGGCAAAGGACUGGGGAGAGGUCCUUUGGGAAAUGGACAAAGCCCUCGAAUGGUUAGGAAAGACAAUCUCUUUAUAAAUGCAGGGCAUAAGCUGAGCACAAGGUGAAGUUUGGCAUGUACUGCCGUGGGAUGUUGUAAAAAUUAUGUCAAAAGCAAAGCAAUUCUUGGU